RNAcentral lists this ribosomal RNA (253 nucleotides) under uncultured bacterium. RNAcentral describes it as "partial 16S ribosomal RNA". It matches the Rfam family "Bacterial small subunit ribosomal RNA", at positions 524 to 776 of the family's 1533-position model. The record is from RNAcentral.
UACGUAGGUGGCAAGCGUUGUCCGGAAUUACUGGGUGUAAAGAGCGCGCAGGCGGCUGGUCAAGUCCGAUGUGAAAGCUCCCGGCUUAACUGGGAAAUUGCAUCGGAAACUGAUCGGCUUGAAGGUGGGAGAGGGUAGUGGAAUUCCCGGUGUAGUGGUGAAAUGCGUAGAUAUCGGGAGGAACACCAGUGGCGAAGGCGACUACCUGGCCCACUCUUGACGCUGAGGCGCGAAAGCUAGGGGAGCGAACGGG